GGGUUGUGAGGUUAAGCGAACAAGCGUACACGGUGGAUGCCCUGGCAGUCAGAGGCGAUGAAGGACGUGCUAAUCUGCGAAAAGCGCCGGUAAGGUGAUAUGAACCGUUAUAACCGGCGAUGUCCGAAUGGGGAAACCCGGUGCACUUCGGUGCAUCAUCGUUAGCUGAAUACAUAGGCUAACGAGGCGAACCGGGGGAACUGAAACAUCUAAGUACCCCGAGGAAAAGAAAUCAACCGAGAUUCCCCCAGUAGCGGCGAGCGAACGGGGAACAGCCCAGAGCCUGAAUCAGCUUGUGUGUCAGUGGAACGGUCUGGAAAGGCCGGCGAUACAGGGUGACAGCCCCGUACACGAAGGCACACAGGCUGUGAGCUCGAUGAGUAGGGCGGGACACGUGAUAUCCUGUCUGAAGAUGGGGGGACCAUCCUCCAAGGCUAAAUACUCCUGACUGACCGAUAGUGAACCAGUACCGUGAGGGAAAGGCGAAAAGAACCCCGGCGAGGGGAGUGAAACAGAACCUGAAACCGUGUACGUACAAGCAGUGGGAGCCUUCGUAAGAGGGUGACUGCGUACCUUUUGUAUAAUGGGUCAGCGACUUAUAUUCUGUAGCAAGGUUAACCGUAUAGGGGAGCCGAAGGGAAACCGAGUCUUAAUUGGGCGUUAAGUUGCAGGGUAUAGACCCGAAACCCGGUGAUCUAGCCAUGGGCAGGUUGAAGGUUGGGUAACACUAACUGGAGGACCGAACCGACUAAUGUUGAAAAAUUAGCGGAUGACCUGUGGCUGGGGGUGAAAGGCCAAUCAAACCGGGAGAUAGCUGGUUCUCCCCGAAAGCUAUUUAGGUAGCGCCUCGUGAACUCAUCUCCGGGGGUAGAGCACUGUUUCGGCUAGGGGGCCAUCCCGGCUUACCAACCCGAUGCAAACUGCGAAUACCGGAGAAUGUUAUCACGGGAGACACACGGCGGGUGCUAACGUCCGUCGUGAAGAGGGAAACAACCCAGACCGCCAGCUAAGGUCCCAAAGUCAUGGUUAAGUGGGAAACGAUGUGGGAAGGCCCAGACAGCCAGGAUGUUGGCUUAGAAGCAGCCAUCAUUUAAAGAAAGCGUAAUAGCUCACUGGUCGAGUCGGCCUGCGCGGAAGAUGUAACGGGGCUAAACCAUGCACCGAAGCUGCGGCAGCGACGCUUAUGCGUUGUUGGGUAGGGGAGCGUUCUGUAAGCCUGCGAAGGUGUGCUGUGAGGCAUGCUGGAGGUAUCAGAAGUGCGAAUGCUGACAUAAGUAACGAUAAAGCGGGUGAAAAGCCCGCUCGCCGGAAGACCAAGGGUUCCUGUCCAACGUUAAUCGGGGCAGGGUGAGUCGACCCCUAAGGCGAGGCCGAAAGGCGUAGUCGAUGGGAAACAGGUUAAUAUUCCUGUACUUGGUGUUACUGCGAAGGGGGGACGGAGAAGGCUAUGUCGGCCGGGCGACGGUUGUCCCGGUUUAAGCGUGUAGGUUGACUUUCCAGGCAAAUCCGGAAAGUUAAGGCUGAGGCGUGAUGACGAGGCACCACGGUGCUGAAGUGACAAAUGCCCUGCUUCCAGGAAAAGCCUCUAAGCAUCAGGUAACAUCAAAUCGUACCCCAAACCGACACAGGUGGUCAGGUAGAGAAUACCAAGGCGCUUGAGAGAACUCGGGUGAAGGAACUAGGCAAAAUGGUGCCGUAACUUCGGGAGAAGGCACGCUGACAUGUAGGUGAAGCCCCUGCGGGUGGAGCUGAAGUCAGUCGAAGAUACCAGCUGGCUGCAACUGUUUAUUAAAAACACAGCACUGUGCAAACACGAAAGUGGACGUAUACGGUGUGACGCCUGCCCGGUGCCGGAAGGUUAAUUGAUGGGGUUAUCGCAAGAGAAGCUCCUGAUCGAAGCCCCGGUAAACGGCGGCCGUAACUAUAACGGUCCUAAGGUAGCGAAAUUCCUUGUCGGGUAAGUUCCGACCUGCACGAAUGGCGUAAUGAUGGCCAGGCUGUCUCCACCCGAGACUCAGUGAAAUUGAACUCGCUGUGAAGAUGCAGUGUACCCGCGGCAAGACGGAAAGACCCCGUGAACCUUUACUACAGCUUGACACUGAACAUUGAGCCUUGAUGUGUAGGAUAGGUGGGAGGCUUUGAAGCGUGGACGCCAGUCUGCGUGGAGCCGACCUUGAAAUACCACCCUUUAAUGUUUGAUGUUCUAACCUGGCGCCAUAAUCUGGCGUGGGGACAGUGUCUGGUGGGUAGUUUGACUGGGGCGGUCUCCUCCCAAAGUGUAACGGAGGAGCACGAAGGUCAGCUAAUCCUGGUCGGACAUCAGGAGGUUAGUGCAAUGGCAUAAGCUGGCUUGACUGCGAGAGUGACGGCUCGAGCAGGUGCGAAAGCAGGUCAUAGUGAUCCGGUGGUUCUGUAUGGAAGGGCCAUCGCUCAACGGAUAAAAGGUACUCCGGGGAUAACAGGCUGAUACCGCCCAAGAGUUCAUAUCGACGGCGGUGUUUGGCACCUCGAUGUCGGCUCAUCACAUCCUGGGGCUGAAGUAGGUCCCAAGGGUAUGGCUGUUCGCCAUUUAAAGUGGUACGCGAGCUGGGUUUAGAACGUCGUGAGACAGUUCGGUCCCUAUCUGCCGUGGGCGCUGGAGAAUUGAGGGGGCUGCUCCCAGUACGAGAGGACCGGAGUGGACGCAUCACUGGUGUUCGGGUUGUCAUGCCAAUGGCACUGCCCGGUAGCUAAAUGCGGAAGAGAUAAGUGCUGAAAGCAUCUAAGCACGAAACUUGCCCCGAGAUGAGUUCUCCCUGAGACUAUAAGUCUCCUGAAGGAACGUUGAAGACGACGACGUUGAUAGGCCGGGUGUGUAAGCGCAGCGAUGCGUUGAGCUAACCGGUACUAAUGAACCGUGAGGCUUAACCUUACAACGCCAAAGAAGU
Molecule: ribosomal RNA, 2927 nt
Filed under: Cronobacter sakazakii
Lineage: Bacteria; Pseudomonadati; Pseudomonadota; Gammaproteobacteria; Enterobacterales; Enterobacteriaceae
Description: 23S ribosomal RNA
Rfam family: Bacterial large subunit ribosomal RNA
Source: RNAcentral